RNAcentral lists this small RNA (29 nucleotides) under Bombyx mori (domestic silkworm). RNAcentral's name for it is "ovarian small RNA-29266". Lineage: Eukaryota; Metazoa; Arthropoda; Insecta; Lepidoptera; Bombycidae. The record is from RNAcentral.
UCGUCUAAAUACGGGUAGCAAAAGUCAAA